RNAcentral lists this ribosomal RNA (1586 nucleotides) under uncultured bacterium. RNAcentral's name for it is "bacterial SSU rRNA". It matches the Rfam family "Bacterial small subunit ribosomal RNA". The record is from RNAcentral.
AGAGUUUGAUCAUGGCUCAGGAUGAACGCUGGCGGCGUGCUUAACACAUGCAAGUCGAACGAGCACGAUAUUCAACACUGAGUAUUUAGUAAAAUGGCAAAACAGCCAGGUCCAAGGACGACGAAGGAGUCCUUUACGCGAAUACAAAGUGUGCUAACACAAACAACUAAGUAUUGAGUGUUGAAUAUCGUGCUAGUGGCGGACGGGUGAGUAACGCGUGGGAAACCUGCCCUAUACAGGGGGAUAGCCUCGGGAAACCGGGAUUAAUACCCCAUAAAGCUCUAAAGUCGCAUGACUUAAGAGCCAAAGAUUUAUCGGUAUAGGAUGGUCCCGCGUCUGAUUAGCUAGUUGGUGAGGUAAUGGCUCACCAAGGCGACGAUCAGUAGCCGGCCUGAGAGGGUGAACGGCCACACUGGAACUGAGACACGGUCCAGACUCCUACGGGAGGCAGCAGUGGGGAAUAUUGCACAAUGGGGGAAACCCUGAUGCAGCGACGCCGCGUGAGCGAUGAAGGCCUUCGGGUCGUAAAGCUCUGUCCUAAGGGAAGAUAAUGACGGUACCUUAGGAGGAAGCCCCGGCUAACUACGUGCCAGCAGCCGCGGUAAUACGUAGGGGGCGAGCGUUAUCCGGAAUUAUUGGGCGUAAAGGGUGCGUAGGCGGCUCUUUAAGUCAGAUGUGAAAGGCCGCGGCUUAACCGAGGUUAGCAUUUGAAACUAGAGAGCUUGAGUACAGGAGAGGAAAGUGGAAUUCCUAGUGUAGCGGUGAAAUGCGUAGAUAUUAGGAGGAACACCAGUGGCGAAGGCGACUUUCUGGACUGUAACUGACGCUGAGGCACGAAAGCGUGGGGAGCGAACAGGAUUAGAUACCCUGGUAGUCCACGCCGUAAACGAUGAGUGCUAGGUGUUGGAGGAGACAUCCCUCAGUGCCGCAGCUAACGCAUUAAGCACUCCGCCUGGGGAGUACGUUCGCAAGAAUGAAACUCAAAGGAAUUGACGGGGACCCGCACAAGCAGCGGAGCAUGUGGUUUAAUUCGACGCAACGCGAAGAACCUUACCAGGGCUUGACAUCCCUUUGACAGAUUUAGAGAUAGAUCCUUCUCUUCGGAGACAGAGGAGACAGGUGGUGCAUGGUUGUCGUCAGCUCGUGUCGUGAGAUGUUGGGUUAAGUCCCGCAACGAGCGCAACCCUUGCCUUUAGUUGAUAACAGGUUAAGCUGAUAACUCUAGAGGGACUGCCGGUGACAAACCGGAGGAAGGUGGGGAUGACGUCAAAUCAUCAUGCCCCUUAUGUCCUGGGCUACACACGUGCUACAAUGGUCGGUACAACGGGAAGCGAAGCUGCGAAGCGGAGCGAAUCCCAACAAGCCGAUCCCAGUUCGGAUUGUAGGCUGCAACUCGCCUACAUGAAGUCGGAGUUGCUAGUAAUCGCGAAUCAGAACGUCGCGGUGAAUGCGUUCCCGGGUCUUGUACACACCGCCCGUCACACCAUGAGAGUUGGUAACACCCGAAGCCAGUGAGCUAACCGUAAGGAGGCAGCUGUCGAAGGUGGGAUCGAUGAUUAGGGUGAAGUCGUAACAAGGUAGCCGUA